GGGGAGGUUGAAAUGUUGGUAUAAGCAGUAUUCAUUAAUACUGUGAUGAGUAUCUAAAGAUACUUACAACAUAAUCUAAUUAUUCGAAUAAAUUUGGGUUUUAUCUUUAACGAAGGUUCGAUUCCUUCCCUCCCCA
RNAcentral lists this transfer RNA (136 nucleotides) under Crassvirales sp. RNAcentral describes it as "tRNA-OTHER". It matches the Rfam family "tRNA". Rfam says of the family: Transfer RNA (tRNA) molecules are approximately 80 nucleotides in length. Their secondary structure includes four short double-helical elements and three loops (D, anti-codon, and T loops). Further hydrogen bonds mediate the characteristic L-shaped molecular structure. tRNAs have two regions of fundamental functional importance: the anti-codon, which is responsible for specific mRNA codon recognition, and the 3' end, to which the tRNAs corresponding amino acid is attached (by aminoacyl-tRNA synthetases). tRNAs cope with the degeneracy of the genetic code in two manners: having more than one tRNA (with a specific anti-codon) for a particular amino acid; and 'wobble' base-pairing, i.e. permitting non-standard base-pairing at the 3rd anti-codon position. The record is from RNAcentral. Lineage: Duplodnaviria; Heunggongvirae; Uroviricota; Caudoviricetes; Crassvirales.